RNAcentral lists this ribosomal RNA (495 nucleotides) under uncultured bacterium. RNAcentral describes it as "partial 16S ribosomal RNA". It matches the Rfam family "Bacterial small subunit ribosomal RNA", at positions 30 to 507 of the family's 1533-position model. The record is from RNAcentral.
UGAACGCUGGCGGCGUGCCUAAUACAUGCACGUCGAGCGAACGGACGAGAAGCUUGCUUCUCUGAUGUUAGCGGCGGACGGGUGAGUAACACGUGGAUAACCUACCUAUAAGACUGGGAUAACUUCGGGAAACCGGAGCUAAUACCGGAUAAUAUUUUGAACCGCAUGGUUCAAAAGUAAAAGACGGUCUUGCUGUCACUUAUAGAUGGAUCCGCGCUGCAUUAGCUAGUUGGUAAGGUAACGGCUUACCAAGGCAACGAUGCAUAGCCGACCUGAGAGGGUGAUCGGCCACACUGGAACUGAGACACGGUCCAGACUCCUACGGGAGGCAGCAGUAGGGAAUCUUCCGCAAUGGGCGAAAGCCUGACGGAGCAACGCCGCGUGAGUGAUGAAGGUCUUCGGAUCGUAAAACUCUGUUAUUAGGGAAGAACAUAUGUGUAAGUAACUGUGCACAUCUUGACGGUACCUAAUCAGAAAGCCACGGCUAACUACGUG